This 531-nucleotide ribosomal RNA is filed under the name uncultured bacterium. RNAcentral describes it as "bacterial SSU rRNA". It matches the Rfam family "Bacterial small subunit ribosomal RNA", at positions 777 to 1310 of the family's 1533-position model. The record is from RNAcentral.
AAUAGAUACCCAGGUAGUCCACGCCCUAAACGAUGUCAACUGGUUGUUGGGGAAGGUUCCUUCUCAGUAACGAAGCUAACGCGUGAAGUUGACCGCCUGGGGAGUACGGGCCGCAAGGUUGAAACUCAAAGGAAUUGACGGGGACCCGCACGAAGCGGUGGAUGAUGUGGUUUAAUUCGAUGCAACGCGAAAAACCUUACCUACCCUUGACAUGUCUGGAAUCCUGAAGAGAUUUGGGAGUGCUCGAAAGAGAACCAGAACACAGGUGCUGCAUGGCCGUCGUCAGCUCGUGUCGUGAGAUGUUGGGUUAAGUCCCGCAACGAGCGCAACCCUUGUCAUUAGUUGCUACGAAAGGGCACUCUAAUGAGACUGCCGGUGACAAACCGGAGGAAGGUGGGGAUGACGUCAGGUCCUCAUGGCCCUUAUGGGUAGGGCUACACACGUCAUACAAUGGCCGGUACAGAGGGCUGCCAAAGCGCGAGCUGGAGCCAAUCCCAGAAAACCGGUCGUAGUCCGGAUCGCAGUCUGCAA